ACCCACAGGAGCUGCCCUCAGGCAGCCAGCCUGGCCACCUCUUCUGCCACGGGAGCUCGCUUCUGUCACAGGCUGGAAGGAGCAAGAGGAGUCCUCCUGUCUCCAGCAGAAAGCUAAAAACAAAUGCUGGAAGCCCAGGAGUUGAUCAGUUCCCAUCUGAACAGGGCCCUCUGAAAGAUGCCCAAUGCACCGUUGCUGGAAGAUCAAAGGCAAAUGCAUAGUCACAGAAAUACUGGUCGAAAGAUGCCUGUGAAGGCCAUCAACUCCAGCCUUCCUCUGCAAGCAGACUGCUGGUGAAUCAGGUCAGCUGAGACACUGUUGAGACUUGGAAGUAUCCGCAGGCUGAGGCACCACAGCGUCUCCAGGCACGGUACAUCCUGGUUUUCCAGAAGAGUGCCACAGAGUAUUGGAGCCUGCCCAGCUCUAUGCUCCUUGAGUAGAGGUCCAGCAGAUGGAAGGGGUGAGCCAGGUAAAACUUCUCCAUAAACACAAGCCCUUUUGUCAGAGGAGAGUGAGACUGCAUCUCCCAGAAAGAAAAUGGCCUGUGGGAUAGCAAAGAAGCCAGGGAGGAGUUCAGCCCCACCUGUGCACCCAGUUUAAUGCCAGGCUGCAUCCACCAAACCACAGCAAUUCAUUGGUAGAUCAGGUGUUGCCCUGAUAAAAGCCAGCAGGGUUUGCUGAUCCAACAUCAUAAAACAGCACACAUUGGCAGCAUUGUGCAUAACAUCUGAAAGCUCUGAAAAUAAGUACACGCAUCUUAACACAUAGAUAAUGUUUAAAUGCCAUCCCCCAAAACAGGAAAAAAAAAAAAAAAGUAAAAUGAAGUCAAAACUCUGGGUUUUAGCUAUUAAAUUUUCUCAUCUGUCUUUCACUUGUUUCCAGUUAUCUGUGGUCUUUUAACAGCUCAGGCAGCAGCACAGGUAAGCAACAGCAUUGUGCUGGCUUGGUAAGUGCAGACAGUUCGGUAUUAGGAGUAUCAUACAUCUGUUUCAGUGUUUGGCCCUGCUUUCUUUGCUGCGUGAGCUCCAGCUCAUGUAUGUCUGAUAAUCAGGAUUGUACUUAAAAUCUGAAAAUAUAUAUUAUACAUGGGCAUGGAUGUAUUGUGAUGCAUCACACAAACCAUAUAUCAUUUACCUGGCCGGCCAUAAGGCCUAGAACACUAAUCCCUCUAAGUGGUGACCUUACAGACUUCUGAUGUGACUUGUGGCUGGCUGACAGCUGUGCAUGAGAGCAAAACCUCUGCUCUCCCCCUCAAGCACUCCCUAGGAAACCUCCAGCAGCAGGAUGGGUGAGACAAAUGCUCUGUCUCGUAGAAUGGCUUGGGUUGGAAGGGACCUUAAAGAUCACUGAGCUCCAGCUCCCUGCUGUGGCCAGGGUUGCCAACCGCUAGAUCAAGCACCUCGGCUACCUCAUAAGUCUUGGUAAUACAGCUCAGAAAUGGCACUAAUCCCAGCAAGAGAUACACAGUACAAGUAACACUGGUAGCUGUGCGCAGUGAGAUGAACAGCACUGAUCAAAGGCCAUGAGAUAAUGACUGAUAGAGCUGUGCCGCCCUUUUACAGCCAGGAGGAGGGUAACUAUUUAAACUGUUCUCAAGAAGUGAACUUCAGUCCGUAAGGGAAAAUCUUCAAUAAAGUCUUACAAAAUAAAUCAUCUGUUUAAAGUUUCACACUGCCAUGAAUGAAAGUCUGAAGUCAAUAGCAGAUCUAUUGUUAGAAAGUACUCUACUUUAUAUGCCAUGACAUUUCCUUAUGAUGGUAUACCAGACAACCAUCUUCAAGAAGUCUAUGAGAGCAGAACAUGAGAGCAGUUUAGCUUCUAGUGGAACAUGUCUGAGGCACACUGCUCUAAGAAAAUGCACGUUCACAAGAUGACAUUUUGAAUGUUUGCGUAGCCCAUUCACACAGAAGGAGCAUUCAGUAGGAACGUUGUGGCAGGGCUGCUCAGGGUACAAAUCUCAUUUCAGUGCUUCCUUUUGGGACCAGCCCAGUUCUGUUAUGCUCCCCACCUGCCACUGCUGUAUCCAAGCACGGGAGAAGCAGCUCCGGGCUGAGGCUUGGCUCACUGGUAAAGGACAAAAGGCACAUCCCAGCCUGGGUAAGUCCAUCUGGAAAAUAGCUAGAAUAUGACCAGAGAUAAGUAGGUUAAAUGACCAGAACACCAUUAGAGCGUAUGAUCCUUAAUUACUACUUCCAGAACACUUUGAUGUCCUUAGGGAGGGAGCAUAUAAAGUUCAAAAUGAGUGCUUAAUAAGUGAGAUUUUCAAAAGCAUUUAAAUAGCAAAGGAGUUCCAGAGACCGCUAAGUUCCAUGGGGAGCUUUGAAAUUCCCCCUCAAGAUAAUAAUUGUACGUCCCACUAUUUGUUAAAAAGCCUUUCUUCUGCAGCGAUAGCCUGUAUUACGUAUACACAUUCUGUAGUCAUGUUUUUGUUCUCUGACUAACUGAAAGCAUAGCCUCAGUGUAUCUCUCUGCGUGUUGUGCAAUAGCAGAUUUGGAAUUUGCAUUUUUUAGAUUACCAGACAAUAAAAAAAAAAAAAAAUAGAGAUUGCGUAGAUAUGCGCCACCCUUCAUUAAAGGCAGUGAUAUUCUCUCCCACCCAGCCCUGCCUAACCAACACAGUAUUGCACAUAUGCCUCCAGACAAUGAGACUACCACACCUUUAGCUUCUAAUUAAAAUUAUUAAGUCGAGAAGGAAAGAAAUGCAUUUUAGUCUGUGCUUGUUAGCCAAAUGUCUCGAUAAAACUGAACAUGUUCUGCUGCUGCCCACCAUCUGUUCUUAUAAAUACUUAUUAAAAACACUGAAUGGGAAAAUAAAUUUGUCAUCACUGACUUUCAGGGAUUUACACCAACUCUGCCCUCAGCUUCGUCUCUAAUGCAGGCUAAUAAACAUCUGUGGAACACGAUACAUUUUUUCCCAUUAAAAAUAUUUUGCAUUUGACAAACUUCAGUAGAAAAGAUUCCAAACCAACGCACGUAUGAAGCUGAAUACAUAGAGGAAUGAGGCCAUCUUUAAUGAGGAUGGUAAUCUAAUGGGGCAAUCUUGCUUUUCCUCUCUUGACCCAUUCCUUACAUAUUCUCAGUCUUUGCACUGCUGAAGAAGUCAACUACCGCAGAAGCACUACACCUCCCUGCCUUUCAUGAAGAGGGGCUUCAGCUUUGAGGCAUCAAAAAAAAUCUUAUUAAUUUCCCUCCACUGGUGGAAAUUCAAAUAUUUUGCAUUAAUGAAUUAAAAAAUAAAUAAAAAAUCAGACUUAACCAUAGCACCCAGUCCAAUCAUGAUUCUUCAUCUAUUGCACCUGAUAGAGUGAAGAAAUCCCAGCUGAUGCAGUGCAGCUAUCAGUAAAUAGGGGUUGACAAGAAUGUCAGUGCUGUUUCUCUUGCAGACUUCCUAAUGAACUUUAGGUCUAAUCAUCAUUCCCAGGCUCUCAUCAGGCAAUUUAAUUAACUUGCCAUCAGUGUCUUCUGUUGAAGCAGAUAAAACAUUAUAGGUACAAUGUUAUGGCCAGGUGCGAUGACAAAGCCAGUAGUAUUUGGAAAAUGAAGGAAAAGGGGACUUUCCUGAGAACACUGCUCAUCUCUAGAACCAUCAUUCUUUAGUGCCUGAAAGACAGAUAGUCCUCCCAGUCAAGACACAGUUCCCAAGACAGAAGUGCCUUUACAAGAGAGAUGAAGGAAUGGUACUAGAUAUCAACAUUGUCGGGGUCAGAAGGGGCUCAUAGGUACAGAUUUUCAUCCCAGAACCAAAAAGCAAGAAGCAAGUGCAGGAAAAGAGCAUGGAAGGAGAUUGACAUCUGUUUUCCCUUCACCGUCCUAAAGCAGCUCAGCAUCGGUUCCUGAGCAGCUGAGGAACCUCUGCUGUGGAGGCAAGAACCUUGGAGAGAAGGGCAGGGCACAUUUCCUGGCUAAAGUCAAAGGCACAAGGUGCUGGCCAACACUGAGAUGCCAAACUGGAGGCUGGUCCACCCACCAGAUCUCUAGGAUGUCUCUCGGAGAUUGUGCAGAUCCGAGCAGCAGCACAAAGCAUCGUGAAGUCAAAUGUAACAUUAAAAAUGCAUUCAGCAUGGUAAGUCAGGUAAGAGCAUUUGUAAUUGCGUGUUUUAUUAAUGUUGGGUUGGGUUUCUUUGAGGAGUUCUGGCUCAAGAAGAAAAAUGUAGUACUGGAGACUGCAUCUUUAAGUGCUGAAUCACCUCAGAAAGAGCCUGAAGAACAGAUUGCAAGUGCUUGCAUAUAUUGUCAGAUGGAUCUGCUAUAGGCAGGCUUGCUGUCAUGAAGACUGCAGUGUCUUGCUUUCACCACCAGUUUGUUUGUAAUUCUCAGCUGUGCUAAUAUAAGGGGAUUUGGGCCUGAUCAUUUCUACAUUCCAAAUAACCUUUGUGAAUUUCGCUGUGAUUUUUAUAUCGCAUACAUCUAAUUUUUCAAAGUAUCAGAAACUGGCAAUGGAGAACAUUUGGGAGCGAGCCUUGGCAGACUCAGCUGGCAGAGAACUGGCAUUUAACCUUGAAGAAAAGCAUAGGAGAGGAUCUGGUUGAACACUGUAGGAGGUGAGGUCCUGCUGAGACGCAGGACAGCAGCAGAGUUGUGAGACAUGCUGGCUUCUAUCUGGGGCUCCACAAUGUGUGCCUGGUAGCAGAAGGAAGGCUGCUAUCUUGCUGGGCUCGCACUCUCCUGUUCUUCCUCUCAUGAGCAGCUCCAAUGUCUAUAAGGAAAACAUUUGCUCUAGCCCACCAUUUAACAGAGGCACAUCCUCCUCAGAUUUUCUUCUGGCUUCCAGCUUCUUUUAAGGGUUGAAGUGUAGGAGAUAACAAGGAGAAGGCCAUGCAGUCGAAUUCUACUGUCCUAGUCACAGAAAUGGAUAAAACUGAAUUAUUUUAAAUGGCAAAAGACUGAAUGAGUUUAAUGAAAAUUGAUUUUUUAGCUCAAAUGCAGCAGUGUAUAAAUGUGUGAGCUUGACAGAUCCAUCAUGGCCAAACCUGGCCCUGGGUGCUACAGUCAGUCCUUGAGUUACUUCUGUGCAGCACCGCUUCUGUGUCUGGGAAGAGUAGACAUUGGUUUGCUGGGUCUCAUUAGCUUGGACUCAGUAAGGAACUUUCUGGACCCGCUUCAGCCCCACACAAAGCCACCUCCUGAGACUGUGGUCCAUUAAUCAAAGAAGCUGGUAGCUCAUUCAGAGGCAGUGAAGAUGACUGGUCCCCUUUACACCACAUUUGUUGAGGAACCUCUGCAUAAAUCACAGAAGGACAGCAUCCAGCACAUCUGUCACAUCUUUUCUCAGUAGGAGAAACUCCUUUUCCACAAUGCAGCCCGUGCAUUCCCUCUGUAAUCUUUAUAGAGGGAACUAUUCACACAGCUGGUGUACAGCUGCUACCUAUAAAGAACACACAUCUCAGUGCAAACAAAACAGUAAAUUGUUUAGCUGUAUAAAGUGACAACCUAAUGAACAGAUUCUCCAUUCCUGUGUUUUCAUUCCUGAGUAUCUGCUUAUAUCUGGAAACAUUUAUGGUGUUCAGGAUGAUUUGUAACUGUUUGAAAUACCUGCUUUAAGGUCUAUGUUUUUCUCAAGGAAAAAGCAGCAGCUUGUUAUUCUCUGUAUGACUCUUUGCUUGGGUGAUGUUGCAGGUUUAAACAGGAAUUAGGAAAACUGCAUGGGAACACUGAACGUAUAGAUGGAAAUGAUGCAGUGGGAUAUUAUUUAAUUAGCCUACCAGAGAGCCAAAUGCCACAAAGGCUUACAGGGCUAUCUCUCUAUUUCUGAAUAGACACAAGGACAAAUGUUUUCAUACUGAGGGUGGUCAAGCACUAGAACAGGUUGCCCAGAAAAGCUGUGGUGUCUCAAUUUCUGCAUUUACCCAAGAUUUAUGCUGAUGUGUCUGGGGGCAGCAUGCUGUAUGUAGCUCUACUUUGAGCAAGAGGUUGGAGUGAAUGAAUCUUCAAGUCUCUCCUUAUCUACAUUAGCAAACAUUUCUAUGAAACCCAGCCAGCCCAUCUCUGUAUCCUGGGGUGCUCACGAAGGAAUGCAGCUAGGGAUACUCAUUUAUUUGGAAUUCAUCUUCAAUACAUUUAUCCUGAAGAAAAGUCCUGCAACCGUUUCCUAGGAAAAGAAAAAGCAAGGACUGCCGUUUCUUUUAAAGCUUGUGGCUAUGGUGAUGCCCUAUCCGAGCCCUAUGUGUCCCCGCUGGCUAAAGCUCUUGCCCAAGAAAUAGCUAUCCUUAGUGCCAUCCUUAACCUGAGAGGUUCAAAUGCAUGUAUUCUUCUCGUAGAGGGAAUUUUUACAUCUGUCUUUUGUGGACUGUCUUUUGCAAGGACUCAGAGGUGGGAAUGGCCAUGGAGCACCUGUACUUUGCCCCUUUUCUAGCAUUGCUUCAGCCACUGGACUGCAGUCACUCUGUCCCUGCUUGCUCUCCUUCUGGCCCUUUGAGCAAUGUAUAAUUUAUUCCACCAGGGCCCAUCUUCAACAGCAAGCUCUGAGUUUCUUCCCCUCCCACAGCUGUCCUGCUCAUUAGGCUGCUUGCUUGGGAAACAUCAACUUGGGCUUCUCUAGGGUGAGGAACACCUAAUAUUGAGGUUUCACUGUGCAGGCAGGCACCCUAACCACCUCACCAUUAAUGAGAAAAAACACACAGUAGCGCCAUCCCCAUCAUAACCAAGACAUAAUUUCAAAGAGCUUAGCCUCUGUGGAGCACUGCGGGCAGCUGAAUGCCGUCUGUGGGUGUUAGGUGUGCUCUGGGAACAGCAGUGGGCUGGGCUGCAAGGGAGCAGGGCCUGGAGCUGCCAGCUUCCCACAUCCCGCCCUUCCCGGGCAGGCAGCCAUGCAGGCCGUGGUGCUCCUGGCUGUGCACCAAACAGCUGGAGGUGCCCCCAGAAGGCAGGAGCCCACCUCGUGAGCUCAGACCCGAGCUUUGGGAGCUUAGUUUAGCUGUGCUACUUAAUUUGGUCUUUGCACUCUGCCAUCCAACUACAUUGAAACCAGACCUGAGCUGCUUCAAGGAGCAGCAGAGCUGCUUCUGGAUAUUACUCUUAAACCAGUAAAUGCAGUUGAACCCCAGCUGGCUCAGCCGUCCCAUAGAAAAGUCCCCCAGAACACCAGCCUGAUGAGGUACGUCGCCCAGUUUGCGGUAUAAACAUCUGGCAGAAAAAUGUCAGGGUCUGCUAUCUGCAGGCUCCUUCUAAAAUACUCAGACAUCUAAUACAAGCUGAGUGUAUGCCUCUAAGCUCAGGAACCUGCAUUAAGUUUUCUGAGUACUUACGAUGGGCUGCAUUUCUCCUCUCAUGCAACAACUUCUGGCUACCAUAGGACACACGGGUGCAGGCAUGUAACAUGUUCUGCAGCUGUCCAUGACCACCAGCAGGUCAGAGGGCUUCCCUGAGGACUUCACAAGGGCUCUGGGCUGCUCCUUCCCUUGUUUGCAGGCAGGUAUGAGCAGAGAGCUCUGCGCACUCCUCCAGCGUCAGCACUUAGUCUUGAAAAGUGCCCCUAAGAGUGGGGUGUUUGCAGACCUUCCUGUAACACAACCCUUCUCACAGGCAUAACUCAGGAAAUGCGUGUGCAAAUUUGGUCUCAGUCUUUAUUCUGUUGUAAAGCAUUUUUCUGCUUCAAAACAAUUCCAUCCAGGUGUCCUGAAUAACAUGGGGAUAUGCAGGAACCAUAAUGUUCCUCUCCAAGUAUAAUUGUCCUUCCCUUCUUCUACACUGUCCGCUGAUCUCCAUGCUGCACACAGAGCAGGAGGCUGGGCAUGCAACCCAAGAACAUAUUUACUGCUUUAAGGUGCUUAGCAAAAUCCUGAUUAUUGGAAGUAUAUGCACUGAAUUAAUCGUAUGACACAAUGAAGUCUCUGCCGUGCCUACCCCUUACUCCUGAUAGUAACUUAUAUCAAAAUACACGAAUAUUCUCCCUUUAAUCCUUAUACAUUUUCCAUUAAAGCCAACGGAAGCUUUUCCAUUGAUUUAACUCUAUAAAAUGCCUUCUGAAAUACCCACACAUGGCUACUUUAUAGCUAACUACAGUAUAUGGUUAUAUAUACAUUUUAUGUAGUUUUACAGUAAUAACCAGAUACUUAUGUAGUGUAGUUAACUAUAAUAUAGAUAAAUAGCAGCUAUAGCUCAUUUUAGCAGGAAAAGGAAUAUUAACUUCUUACUGGAAUGAUUUAGCAUUUGCUGGUGAUUUAAGAGCACCGCCUGUCUGCUGUGCUCAGAAAUCGAGUGCAGGCUGAGAAACUGACUGAAUAGCACAGAAGUUAAAGCAUAGGACUAAAUUGGUUUGCAAAUCUUUUGGCCAGUCUUGAACAGGAAGCAAAGAGUCAAAUGCGUUUUGCUAAUCCCAUAGCUGAUUCAAUGCUAAGGCAUAUUUCUUCAUGCUGUACAGAGAGAUCUCUGGAGCACAUCCAUUUUGUCCGCUGCACCAGAACAGAAUCCAUCCAUGUGUGGCAGAUGUUGGUCUAAUCUAUUCUUACAGACCUCCAGUGUGGGAGAUUUGCAACAUAGCCUGCCUGGUGUUUAUCCCCUGGAUAGGAUCGGUUGUUUUCAUAUAUAAUGUAAAUCUUCCUUUUUGAAAAUUAGACUCUUGUUUUAUACCCUUCCCAGUGGACAUGUUGAACAUUUAAUUACUCACUGAUCUCUUUAAAACAGCCUUUAAGUGGUACCAACAUUUUUCCAUUUCACAGUGCAGGAUGCUGAUUUACACCAGCUGAGCAGCUGGUCUACAGUUUUAAGAGACCCAUUCUACAGGCCCCAGACACAUCAGGGUACUGGUGGUGGAAAUCAAGAUUUAUGCUUUUAUGUUCAAGUGUUUCAUGAUUCUAAUGCACUUAUAUUUGAUAACAACAAUAAGUAAGUGUGAGUUUACACCCGUGAUGGUGAACUGUAGAAACCAACUGUCUGAGGAUGGUAGACAGCAAGAUGGGUAUUGCACUCACAGAAAAAACUCCAGGUCAUUCUGUCAUCACGUUCUCACCUUUGCUCCCUCUAACACUGUUAAAUAUAAGUCAAAAGCAAAGGAGAGAGAAACAGAACUAAUACUUUGUUUCCUACUAAGCAACCUGAGGCGAAAGAUUGUUGAAGUUUUUCAGCAUCACACAACAAGAUUUUUAAUUCCAGCCAUGAUCUUAGCUGAAGAAUGUUUCUUACAGAUGCCCAAUGCAUUACUUUUAUGUAAGUGGUCCAUUUGUAGAAAAUUCUUACAACCAUGACUAGUUUGGCAUCAACAGUGGCUACUCUAGACUACAAGACAUGGAAAAAAAAAAAAUUUCCACUCAUAACAGCUUAGAAAUCAGUGCUCCUGGGAAUCCUGUUCACAAGGAAAGCAACACAGCAGCAACUGAUUUAUUCUUAAUGACUUGGAGAUUUAUCUUGAACUCAUUACCUGAAAUAACUCAGAACCAGAUGGCCUGGAUACACAGCUGAAAGUUGUGUGACCAAGAUUAGGCUCUGCCACACCUCAUGCCUACUGUGUGGGAUGUAAUGAUAAUGCCUCUGGUUGUUGUAGGGAAGGGGAAGAUGGGAGAAACUAUGAGGAGAGUGAAAAUACAAAUAAGCAAAAAAUAGCAUCGGUAUAAGAUCCUUCUGAUAUACUCAAAACACAGUAACAAACCGUGCUGCUCUCUUCUGGACUGGUACAGCUUGUUCUGAAGGUCAGUGAAUACAAGGCACAAAAUAGACUGAAAAAGAAGAAGAUCCAGAUGGAAGGAAAAUGUGUCUCAGGGACAGGACCAUGUAAACAAGAGAAUGGAACUCAGACAGGAAUGAACUGAAACCCUGGGAAAUCAUAGAAACAUAAAAUGGUUUACACUGGAGGGGACCAUAAAGAUGGUCUAGUUCCAAGCCCCCUGCCAUGGGCAGUGUUGCCAGUCACCAGAUUAGGCUGCCCAGGGCCCCAUCCAACCUAGUAUUCAAUGCCUCCAGAGAUAGGGCAUCCAUAACUUCUCUGGGCAACCUGUUCCAGUGCCUCACCACCCUCUGAGUGAAGAAUAUCUUCCUAACAUCUAACGUAAACCUCCCCUCUUUCAGUUUAAAUCCAUUCCCCUUGUCCUAUCGCUAUCUACCUGCAUAAGAAGUUGAUCCCAAUCCUGCCUGUUAGCUCCUUUCAAGUAUUGGAAGAUUGCAAUAAGGUCUUCCCGGAGCCUUUUGUUCUCCAAGCUAAACAACCCCAAUUCCCUCAACCUUUCUUCAUAAGAGAGGUGCUCCAGUUCAUCUUCAUGGUCCUCCUCUGGACUCCAUCCAACAUCUCCACACCCCUCCUGUACUGGGAGCCCCAGGACUGGAUGCAGUACUCCAGAUGGGACCUCAGGAGGGCAGUGCAGAGAGGGACAAUCACCUGCCUCUCCUUGCUGGCUGCCCCUCUUUUGAUGCAGCCCAGGAUACUGUUGGCAAUAAUAAAUAAAUGUAAUGCUGACAGUUACCAGAGAUACCACCUCAUUAGCUGCACUGAGCUCCUGAUGCUUAUACCAUACAAAGCUUUCAGGAUUCACAAGUGAAGAAUCUCUCUGAGUUUAUCAGACCAUUUGUGACCCUGCCUCAUGCCAUCCUGGUUGUUGAGACGCUCAGCAUGGAGCACAGCCAAUGGAACCAUGCUCUUUGGAGGAUGUGCCCAGUGUGGGAAGAGGUGGUGUCCACCUUGUGUACCCAGUACUGUCUCAGGAUAGGAGCACUGUGUGCUACCAUCUUUUUAAGUAGGAGUGCUUUUUUAAAGAGCACAGCCACCAGUUCCCCAGAAAAUGCAUGAUCUGUGGGCUUAGUGCCUGGGCUCAGGGGCACUGAGACACAAUCCAUAAGAGCAACCAAGGGUUGGUCUGUACCCUGAUGAAACGGGGAGAGACGUGGAGCAAGAAGAUCAGUCCCUCUUCCAUAGCACUUCUUAUAUAGGUUAUAACAAAACACAUCAGGUAAAUAAGGCAAACAUGAGGUAAGGGUGGAAGUGAUAAAAUGAGGUGACAGUGACCCAAAUACAUCAUCAAAUAAUGAGCCUCUCUGCCUUUCUAGGCACUGUUACAUGGGACUGCUUUUGAGGCAACAAUAACAGGAAAGGGGAAGGGGUAUGGAGUAAUUAGGAAGGAACAGUUUCAUGAACUUUAACUGGGAGUUUGCCACUAUUUCCAGUGUCAGAGACAGCGUAAAGAUGGUUGACAAAGAAGCCAACAGAGAAGCAGUGUAAGGAAGCCUUAGCUUCUGGGUUGGUGGUAACCUAGGAGAGUUAAAUGGAAGGAGGUUUCUCUUGGGCUUCUUGGGCAGAUUGCUUGCCCUAGGAAUCAGUGAGUGAGCAGAACAAUCAGUAUAGUAGGUGUGCUUGCUAAGCGUUAUAGGAAAAACAACAACGUUUUGCUUAGGCAUAGACAUAAAUUAACAUAUAGAAGAAAGAUUUGAAAGUAGACAGCUGUUACUUGAUUUUUCUCUGAAUUGGGUCUACCAGCAGAGGACAGGAAAUUGUCCUCCAGAUCAGAGUUCUGCCCUGUUUUAUCAGUGCUUCUUCAUGUGAUAACAGUAUUUCUCAGACAACAAACAGGGUUAUAGUGAGUACUCAGGCUGCCAGUGCCCUACAGAAACUCAAAGAGAAGUGCUGAAGAAGUAAAUAAAGAACAAAGAAAGCUUUGACAUGCUGCAUGGCUUAGGAGUAAUGGAAGAACAAAGUAACAAAGCAAAGGAUAAAGGCGAAGAGGAAGGGAAAUGUAUUUGAUGACUAUCAGGCUAAAUCAGAGAUUUUGUUAAAAGGGUUGAGCCAGAUUUGUAGAACACAUCGGGAUGAAGUCAGAGCAGAGGGAUUAAUUAAUGAGAUGUAGUCUCAGGUUAGAAAUACAUGCCACUGAGAGUGAGUGGUAGAGGAGGAGAGCCAGAAGGCAAGGCAAGGAGGUGCAAGGUGAUAGCAGGUGUGAUGUACAUCACAACAACAUGCAGUAGGAAGGACAGAGAGAAGAUAUGAAGUGAACUGAUAAAAGCAAGGACAACAUGACAGCUAAAGGGAAAGGAGCCAUUAGUUUUUGUUCAGCUUGCCUCCUGUGUAGAGGCUAUUUUUCCUAUUUAUCCUAAAACAGGAUUUUACCUUCUGUUUUCCAUGUAUUUGUUGCUCAACUUGUGAAGUGUCUUCACAGACAGCAGCUUUUGUUAAAGUUGCCUAACAUUGCCCUCUGUGCUGCCAAUACUGAGGGCCCUCAGUAAAUGCACUAGUAAAAUUUUCUAAUGGCUGUGUGUAUCUGGGUGAAGUCAUGAAGAACUGCUGUUACUGAGAAGAGAAAGCACAGACGGUGUGGGAACUGCUGAAAAGCAAUCAUAUUUUAGUGGUUUAACUAUGCUUCUUCUCCUGGUACUAAAAGCUGUCUGAUAUGUCACAUUUACAAAGGACUAAAAACAAAAGGCUGUAGCCAAAAGGUUGUUUCCUGAACUAGUGCAGAAAAGAAGAAUUUUAAAAUGCUGAUUCAUAGCCUUUGCCAUUGUAACUGUGUAAAUCACGUUACCGAUCUCAUCAGAUCCCCUCUCUCCCUAUCCCAGGCUUCUGGCUUCCACAACUCCUGCAGUGGGGCCCCGUGACUCUCCCAAGCUCAGGUUUCCUGUGGUCAGCCAGGAUUGCCUCAUGGUCCUGAGUCAUCUCCAGUUCUUCUGACUCCAGGAGCAGAGCAGUAUCCAUCCCCAAGCAGCCUUGCUAGAGCAGAGCCUGAUUUGCUUAGAACAAAGACAGGACAGAAAAAAUGGACCCACAACAGAAGACAUACCUAUUAGAGUCGGCCUGCAUGCCUCCCACCAAGGCUGUGCUGGCUCUCCUCCAGGCUCUCUCAGCACAGCCUCUCCUUGCAUCAUCCUCUGCCCAGUGGCAGCUCCUGACAGCUGCCUGUUCCCUCCUAGGAACAGGAUUUCUGAGUGUCUAAACUGGCAAAAUAGAGCCUGAAGUUUUUCACUUGAGCAGGAUGCUCAAACGAAUAAGCUUUUCAGUGCCUGCCAGGAUACUCUGUCUGGAAAGUCACUGUACAGACUGACAUGCUUUUUUCUUCCCACAGUCCUACUUAAUUAGAGCAAUGCUGGCUACCCAGGAAGCGUUCUCUUACACUUCUAGAAGUCAAGCAGAUUAGCUUAAUUUCCAUGAGUACAUACAUUUGUAUUGCUGAGAACAUGCUGAAGACCAAGCUAGCACUGAGCUGAUCUGGCAAGUCCACACAGCACAGCAAAGUACCGUGUAGAUAUGACAAGUGGGACUGAGAAGCAGAAUAAUCCUGUUCAGCUGGCACAGCACUCAGGGCUAUAUUGCUUCUGUUUCAGUGCUGGCUUGCAAAGAGCCUCUGCACCGUGUUUCCCAGCUCUUCAGGCUGUGGGAGUAAACUGAGCAGCACCAGCCUGGAUGUCUUUGUGCACACCCUAAGUUGCAGAUCAGAUUCCUAGAUUAUUACAUAGCUACUCCACUCUACCACAGCCUCUGUCUUUUAAUCAGUGAGAAAAUGUCCUUUAGAAGGAUCCAUUUUACCUCCAUCUUGUUACACUUCUGCUGUGAGACACUUACAACCUCUACUUUGGUGCAUUGAUUUAUUUAAGCCUAUCCUCGAGAGAGUCAUAUAAGACCUUAGAUGCCUCCACUUAUCCUGAUCUCUUUCUUCCCUUCAACGUAUCACAAAGCCUUUUUGAGAAAUAGCUAUACAACAGUUAUUUUACUAAUAUAGAAUUAAGAUUUGGUGCUAGAUAUGGUAUGAUAGACAGUUUUGGUAGCAUCCUAUAUUAGUUACCCUAAAUUCAAGAAAACAUUCCUUCUAGCAGGUCCUAGCAGAGCAAAGAACAGCCAGCAUGAGAAAAUUAGCCAUCUUGCAAAGUUUUGUAGCACUGAUUAUGUUCUUGAAAAGGGGCCAGCACUCCAUCCCAUCUACUUGUAAAUGUUCUGCAGUUAUUAUACUCUUAAUAACUCAAGACUGAUGGAUGAGUGUAAGGUUGGGCAGCUUUGUUUGAUAGCCUAAGGGAGGGAUAGGGGGGGAGGGAAGGAACAAGUAUCAGCAAAUAGAUUGUGCAUCAGACAAAUAAAGAGGGUUACACAAUACACUGUAUUUUAAAAUAAGUCUUCUCAAAUGCUGUCAUUGCCACCAAUUGAUGCUGCUUAGAAGAAUUCACCAGUUAAUGCUGCUAUAAUCCUACCAAUAAAUUAAUUUGAAGAGAGACAAAUGGGUCCAAAUCAUUGACUCUGAUGGUGCUUAAAGGAGUGUAAAAAAUGCAGAACAGUAUUUUCAAUGCUUCAUUUUCUGAAGUGAUGCUCCCUUCUAAAAAGAGAUAUUCCCCUUAUUCCUGUCUCCCUUAUUAGCUUGAAGAGAAUGGGAGAUUUCAAACAUGAAGUGAGACUUCAGAGUUUUUCACACUUUGAAGUCGCUUCGCUAACACUUCAUACAAACCUUUUCUUAAUUGUUUAAUUAAAUGAUUGCAGCCCCCUUAGAGGUACAGAGCAAAAAAUUUAAUGUUUGAAAAUUUCACGAGUGAGAAAUGUUAGGUUUAAAUUUGGUAGAAAUAGGUACUGCCCCUCCACUUGGUGAAUACUGUCAAGAUUGUCAAUGUUCAUUUGAAAUCUGUUAUGAAUUAUUCUAGUAACUAUCAAUUAAUUACCUUCUGCUUGUAGAAAAUGACAUAAAAGUGCUUUCUUUUUCACCUCUGGUCACCUCUAAUCCAUUCCUGCUUCCAUUUCUUCUACUUGCAGAAUCAGCAUCUGUCUCAUUCUAUUAUCAGCAGUUAACAAGACAUACAAGUAAUGAAAACUCUACUAUUUAUUUAUUUAUUUAUUUUAAAUCUGAAGCAUGAUUUUUGCAACAGAGAAUGUGUGGAAGAAUUAUGAGAAUCAUAAUAAUUUCAGAUUUACAUGUAUGUAAUCCAACAAAUGUUAAGGACAAAGUAUAUGGUCACGCAUAAUGUAGCUCAUAGAUCAUCAGAUUCAUCAACCAGCCCUCCAGCGAGAAAGUGAGCACCUAAAAGUCCUUUUGAUGUUUGGGCUGGGCUCAGUAUUUCACAUAAUUAAUACACUUCUUUUCAAAACCAGCGAACAGAGUAUUCAUGCAUUGAUGAAGGACAGGCAUUCACAAUGGGUACUCAAACAUACACUUAUUAAAAUCAACAUUUAAUUGCCUAUUGACCUGAGUUGUGAUCAGCAGGCUUUGAAUGUAUGAGAACAUCCAUGUGAAAACAUCCAUCUGAGAACAUUCCAUUGAAGCACAAUGGAGGAAAGCAUUUUUUGCAGAGUCUGAGGCCACUGUUUGGCUACCCACACAAGGCCGCUAUCAGCUAGGCCAGCCUGCACUUCUGUAGUAACUCUGAGCUCAUGACUGACAAGAAUCACAUAGAGGAGCACAGUGAGGCCUUUGCCAGUCUCCUUGGUGGGAAAACUUCACCUGACAUCCUCCCUGUCUGGGGCCUGAGGACAUGCUCUUCCAGGUCAUGAUUUCAAAUUCCUGGUAUUACAGAACAUUGUAGCAGAGCAAGGGCUGCUCCGAAGGAAUCCAACCUAUUCCUUGCUAUCUAUCUUAGUCAUCCACAGCACUUCAGAUCCAAUUCAGACUCUUCAUCUUGCAGCCAAAGCAAAAGGCCACUGAAAGCUGCAGAGUAAAGUCUGUGAUCAGCCUUGGUGCUCACAGCCACAGUCCUCUGAGAUACAGUAAUUUCUGUGGUAAGCAAAAAUUCAUGUGGGAAGAAGAUAGAACUUUUUUAGAGCUCUGAAUUUGCAGAAUUAACUUUCCAAGGAGCUAAAGGCCACCAAAAACCAUAGAACUUUCUGCUCCCACUGUUUCACAGAAUCACAGAAUCAUUGAGGUUGGAAAAGACCAGUAAGAUCAUCUAGACAACUCAUCAAUCCAUCACCACCGUGCCCGCUAACCAUGUCCCUCAGUGCCACAUCUGCACAUUUCUCGAACAUCUCCAGGGACACUGACUCCACCACCUCCCUCAACAGCCUGUUCUAACACAUUACCACUCUUCCCAAGAAGAAAUUGUUCCUAGUAACCAACCUGGUAUUAUUUUACUUAUCUUACCACAGUUUUUCUCACUUAGAAGGUCCAAGUAGGCUUGUUGCAGAGAAAGCAUUGAAACAGUAUUUAGAAUUGAUCACUAAUGGUGGUGAUGGGUUGGUGGUUGGACUAGAUAAUCUUAGUGGUCUUUUCCAACUGUUAUGAUUCUAUGAUUCUAUGACUGGGGAGCCUACACAGAACAGAAUACAGUGCCAAUACGAACUAGCUGAAGGUGCAUAUGCAAACUGCAAAUCAACAAUUAUGUUACAGUGCAUCAGUCACACCAACGUGAGAACUGGUUUUACUCAUAUUUUUUCCAUCUAAGUAGACUGGGAGCAGAGAGCAAGACUUACAUUUACUUUUUGGGGUGUGGGCGCAGAAAGGUUUAGACAAAAUGUUGUCAGAGUACUUGCAUAAGUGUCCUAAUAUGAAUCCAACUGCCUUCUGCUAAGUACCCAAUUAAAGCCUCUGUGAAGCUUCGUUUAGAACUCAGUGGUUCCUCAGUCCUACACCACGUUUCUUUCAUCCCUCAUUAUAAUAAUACUGAAUAUUAUAGCGCCAAGUAAUCUAGUAAUUACAGUUUUCCUUUUCAAAUCUACUGGAGUUCACUGAAGCAGUUGGCAUUAAAUCAAUCCUGAGAUUUCUCAAAAGCAAACCAACUUGCUAAAUAUCCUUAUGUGCAAAUGCAUUUACUCACAUAAACAGUUUAAAACUAAUUUCUGAAAAACAUCAUGUGAAUUGUGUUGUGUCAAACCUGAAAGAAGUUUGACUGCCUCAUCAUUAUACACAGAGAAUCCUGCUUGGGCAAUAAUAUCAUCCCUUUCUUUCUAAGGAGGCCUGUUUGACUUGACAAAACAUGUGUUGUCAAAUACAUGACGGAGACAGAUGAUUCAGGAGAUAACAAGCAGUCACACAGUCUGCAAUUCAUGUAACUACCAAAUACCCACAAAACUUUUAUUUUUAUGCAAUAAUUCUUAUGAAUUUGUUUUUUCAAUGCAUUCAUCAUUGCAGAAGUAGUUCAUCAGUUACGACAAUGCCAAAAUAAAGGAUAUGAGGAAGAGUGUGCAGAUGUCCUGCCAUUUGUACACUGAGCCCUAGCUCUCCUGCUUGUCACACUCUAGGCUUGGUAGAAAUUGAGAUAUAAAAUAAAUAGGAAGGAUUAGGAUAAGGCAUUGGAGUUUUGUAUAUGAAGGCUUCCUGCAGCCAGAUUAUACACAUUAAAAAUAAUCAUUUUGGUGUAGAAUUACUUCCUAGAAGCUAAGUAGCACUCAGACUGUAAGAAAAGCAGCAAGCUGGAAAAGCCAGGGAAAGUAUAGCAUUUCUGAGAGCAUAUCUGCAGACUUGUGCUUGAGCUGCAUAGUCAGGUUGGUCACAGUGGAGCUGCUUGGACCCACAGAGCAGAUGUUAAGUCACACCAUGGCUGUUUUGUAACAUCACUGCUGAACAAUUUCUGAACAAUUUCACUUAGAAUCAUAGAACCGUUGGUGCUGGAAAAGACCACUAAGAUUAUCGAGUCCAACUGUUGACCCAUCCCCAUCAUGCUCACUGAUCAUGUCCCUCAGUGCCACACUCACACAUUUUUUGAACACCUCCAGGGAUGGUGACUCCACCACCUCCCUGGGCAGCCUGUUCCUAUGCUUCACCACUCCUUCUGAGAAUAAUUUUUUCCUAAUAUCUAACCUGAUCCACCCCUGGCACAAAUUAAAGCCAUUACAUCUCAUCCCUGUGUCAACAUUGUGACUAUGAGCACUUGAACAUAUGUGUAUUCCUAAACAAAUCCAAAUGACCAGCUUGUGUUCUAUGUGUGAGAGCACUUGUAGGUAGAUGUAUGUAUAUAGAUACUUACGUUUGCUUCCUUGCUACCCUCCUUAUCCCUCUUAUCUUGCAUUUAACAAAUCUCCAGUACUAUGUACGUAAAACAAAAUAACAAAAUCACGAGAAAAACCUGACACUUGUAAACUCUUGAUGUUUUGUUGUUGUUGUUGUUGUUGUUGUUUUCUUUUACAGCGUAUCCUUCUACCUAGAUUCCUUUGAAAAUCAGAGCUCAUCUGGGACAAGUAUGACUCCAUCAUGUAUGUGAGUAUAUAGCGAACACUGUUGAACUUGUUGGAGACCUUUAACGUUAUCAAAAUACAACUAAUAGUAAUUAAUAUUUACUUGUCAUAUAGCCUCUCCAAUGAAGAACUAAAAUCAAAAUUAUAACCCUUCUGGGAAUAUGCCAAAGCUGAAGGAAAAGCUAGAAGCACACUAUUCUGUAAUCAGGUCAACUUACCUCAUAGCACUUGCUGUAAAAAUAUGAAUUACGUUAUGUUCCUUUGGCAUUUCUGUGGUUGCCAAUUAUAUUCAAACAUUGUAAGGAGCCUUGCAAACAAUUUGGAUGGAUUCAUGGCUUGCAGUAAGAAUGGCUGUACCCACAGAGCAAGCCUGUGCCAUAGCAAACUCCUCUGCGUUGGUCCUGGCUACAUCCCAGCAGUACCACAAGGCAAGGCCUGGGGGUCACCAGCUCCUGCCUGAGGAAAGCCCACAAAGCAAAUAGAAAGGGAAAUACUGCAGAGCACAGCCCAUCAGCAGUGGGUGACAUGCAGCUGCAAGCACUUAGUCCCUCAGGAGCAGGAUUAACCAAAUCAGUGGUUCUUGGGACAAUGAUGAUGGACUUUGGGUUUAGUAGGGAAAGUGCUGGUGACAGGUAUAAUGGAAUCAUAGUUUAAAUAUAGGAGAACUACAUGCUAUUUCUCUUUUUCCUUUUUUUUUUUUUUUUAAUACAUCGGUAUGUAAAUGGAAAGUCUGGACUGCUGUUAUAGUUUAAUUUCUUCAAAUGGCUGGAGAUCCCAAAACUUUUUAUUUCUUCAGCUGCUUCAUAUACACAUUUGCACACACAACUUUGGAUGCUUGGUAUCUUUGAAAUUCAGGUCAUAUCCACUUGAUAGGCAUGUUUGGGCCUAAUUUUUACUUAUCUUUUAAAAAAUAAAUUUUGGUAAUAGUCUUCAGAAGUAGGAAAAUAGUGAGAAAUUUCUACUGUCAUGCAUGUUCUCACUUUACAGCCAAUCUGAAGUCUACAUGUUCAAAUAAAUCAGUGCUCAAGGACAUUGCUGUCUUCUUCAGGCUUAGGGAGUUAUGCCCAGGCCCAGGAGGUGUGUUUAGGUGCCUAAUGACCAGUGUAUUCCAUAGAUGUUUAAAUAUUAUCACUUAACCAGGACCUGCAUCCAUCUCUGGGCAGAAACAGACAGGAAAUUUUUUAUAUCUAUCUAUCUAUCUAUCUAUUUUUAUAUCUAUUGAGGUAGACAAAAACUUCUACUUGGGACCCUUCUCAGCACUGCUGCAAGGUACAGGGUGGGGUGGAUAGGACGAAAGGGUUCAUCAGCUGGGAUUGCCUCCCACAGCCAAACAGGGCCACAGCUCUCAGGCUGCUCAGGACAUGCACAGAACAAAACCUGCAGCAGCAUGUGCCCAGGAGAGCUCUGCUGUUUCCAAACACGCUGCAACAGCUGCAGAUGCCGCCCAGACACAGCACAGUGCCCAUCUUGCUCCCUUACCACAUGGUACGGACCCUGCUGCUUCUUGAAACUGCCCACGUGCUUGUACAAACCUGUACUUUGCAAAUGCUCACACACGGUGCAUGCAUGAAUUAUUCCCAGGUAUCUGUAAAAUUUAGUUUUGAAAACUGUAAAAUAAUGGCCUGACAACAAGCUGGUCAUAUUUUCCAUGGUUCAUUUACCUCAAACAAACUGAAGGAUCAGCAAAUGUUUUGUAUUAACUUAUUGUUGAGCCAUCCUUGAUUAAGAAAUCGGUUCUUCCUGAAACUUUAUCUGGGAGUGGUCAGGUCUCCACACAGCAUUUCUGCUGCUUUCCUGAGCAAUGGAAGGACCGACACCAGCAAAGAUGGACAACACUUGAGUACUGCCAUCUGUGAUACAAUCAACAGAGCCCCACAGCACUGUUGUUUGGAUCAUUUGGUGCCCAGUUCUGCUCCCACCGAGUUCACAAGAGUUUGUGAUGGGGCAUGUUCAGGCUUCCAGUGUAUUAGUAAUAAUGCUAAUGAUAUUGUAUGCUUUGCCUGCAUUACAGUCUGGUGCUUAGAAAAUAAACAUCUCGGCUUUGC
Molecule: long non-coding RNA, 20037 nt
Organism: Gallus gallus (chicken)
Lineage: Eukaryota; Metazoa; Chordata; Aves; Galliformes; Phasianidae
Exons: 8
Source: RefSeq, a predicted model, not a curated record